Geosporobacter subterraneus DSM 17957 is the source of this 2014-nucleotide non-coding RNA. Lineage: Bacteria; Bacillati; Bacillota; Clostridia; Peptostreptococcales; Thermotaleaceae. The record is from Rfam.
GUUGAAGGUUACUAGGGAGUGCCUUUGGGGUUAAAACCCAAAAGAUAGACCCAAAAACAUUCAACAUACAACAUAUAACAUUCAACCACUCAAUUCAGCGUAGCUGAGUUGAGUAUCCGGGGUUGCGGAUAUACUCAUUAAGAGAUGGCAGUUGUAAUCGAAGCGGUCUGGAAAGGCCCACCAUAGAAGGUAACAGUCCUGUAGGUGAAACGACGAAUAUCUUGAGUAUACUCCAGAGUACCACGAGACACGUGAAACCUUGUGGGAAGCAGGGGGGACCACCCCCCAAGGCUAAAUACUACCUGGUGACCGAUAGCGUAUAGUACCGUGAGGGAAAGGUGAAAAGAACCCCGGGAGGGGAGUGAAAGAGAACCUGAAACCCUAUGUUUACAAGCAGUGAAAGUUCUUUAUAUGAACGAUCGCGUACUUUUUGUAGAACGGGCCAACGAGUUACGGUAUGCAGCAAGGUUAAGCUGUUCUGCAGCGGAGCCGCAGCGAAAGCGAGUCUGAAUAGGGCGUUUUAGUUGCAUGCCGUAGACCCGAAACCGGGUGACCUAUCCAUGAGCAGGAUGAAGCGGAAGUAAAAUUUCGUGGAGGUCCGAACCCAUGUCUGUUGAAAAAGGCUGGGAUGACUUGUGGAUAGCGGAGAAAUUCCAAUCGAACCCGGAGAUAGCUGGUUCUCCCCGAAAUAGCUUUAGGGCUAGCCUCAAAUGUAGAGAUGCGGAGGUAGAGCACUGAAUAGCCUAGGGGCCCUCACCGGUUACCAAAGCUUAUCAAACUCCGAAUGCCGUAUUCUUUUAUUUGGGAGUCAGACUACGUGAGAUAAGUUUCGUGGUCAAAAGGGAAACAGCCCAGACCGUCAGCUAAGGUCCCAAAGUACAGGUUAAGUGGAAAAGGAUGUGGGAUUGCACAGACAACUAGGAUGUUGGCUUAGAAGCAGCCACUCAUUUAAAGAGUGCGUAAUAGCUCACUAGUCGAGUGAUCCUGCGCCAAAGAUGUCCGGGGCUCAAACCUGUCACCGAAGCUACGGCAGUGCAUUGCACUGGGUAGGGGAGCAUUGUAUGCGGGUAGAAGUCACACCGUAAGGAGUGGUGGACUGCAUACAAGAGAGAAUGUUGGCAUGAGUAGCGAAAGGUAAGUGAGAAUCUUACCCGUCGAAAACCUAAGGUUUCCUGAGGAAGGUUCGUCCGCUCAGGGUUAGUCGGGACCUAAGCCGAGGACGAAAGUCGUAGGCGAUGGACAACAGGUUGAAAUUCCUGUACCACCAAAGAUCGUUUGAGCAAUGGGGUGACACAGGAGGAUAGGUCAUGCGCACCGUUGGUUGUGUGCGUCUAAGCCCGUAGGGAGUUAGGAUAGGCAAAUCCGUCUUAACAAUCCUAAAAGGUGAUGGGGAGCGAAAUUGGUCGCGAACUGACUGAUUCCACACUGUCAAGAAAAGCCUCUAGUGAGAUCUAGGUGCCCGUACCGCAAACCGACACAGGUAGGUGAGGAGAGAAUCCUAAGACGAGCGAGAGAACUAUUGUUAAGGAACUCGGCAAAAUGACCCCGUAACUUCGGGAGAAGGGGUGCCACGGUAGGGUUAAUCGCCCGAGGUGGCCGCAGAGAAUAGGCCCAAGCGACUGUUUAACAAAAACACAGGUCUCUGCUAAGUCGAAAGACGAUGUAUAGGGGCUGACGCCUGCCCGGUGCUGGAAGGUUAAGGGGACGUGUUACCCGACACUCAACUGUGACUAUUAGAAAAAAUCUUCAUAAGCAGAAAAAAUUAUAAGAUAAACAGAAGAAUCUAGUAGUUAGAGUUGAGUGUUGGGGAAGCACUGAACUUAAGCCCCAGUAAACGGCGGCCGUAACUAUAACGGUCCUAAGGUAGCGAAAUUCCUUGUCGGGUAAGUUCCGACCCGCACGAAAGGCGUAACGAUUUGGGCACUGUCUCAACAAUAGACUCGGUGAAAUUGUAGUACCAGUGAAGAUGCUGGUUACCCGCAGCAGGACGGAAAGACCCCGUGGAGCUUUACUG